CGAGGAGAUGAGCCAGCCCCAAGGAGAGGUGCAUGCCGUGCUCUGAAGUCAGCACUGAGCAACAGCAGGAGUCUUGGGACAACCUGGAGGACGAUAAGAGGAGGCCAAGGCUGAACCUACUUCUAAAUGAUACAUUGAUGAACAUUUUGGACUUUGAAUAUGAAUUAAGUGAAGAUGGCUUAAUGUAGUUGAUACGGAAGCUUGCAGAAGCUGGAGUUAGAACCAAAUUGGAGGAACCUGGGAGCAGCUUAGGAAAGACAGAAACUCGGCGGAAUCAUUCUCUUUAAAACAUGAUCAGCGGACCUCUCAACCCACAUCAGGAAGUAUCUAUCUGCAUUUGAUGAUGGUUACCACUGAGACUCACAAAUGGCGUGGAGUGGAGAACAAGAGGCUGCAGAAUAUUCAGCCCUACAUGGACCAUCCAUACCCUACCAUCUCCUCCAGGCUAGUGAUCAUACAAAGAGGGACCGGAGAGACCGUAAGAAACAGAGGUGGUGAACGAUUCAGGAAAGCAGCGUCCUCUGGACACACUGGGCCAGCGGCACAGGUGAACGUGAAGUAGUUAGGACAAGCCCCAUGGAAGCUCAAGCCAGACUGAAUCCCGGCAUGGAGAGAUGGGGUGGGUACCAAGUCCUGCCCCUAGCCAGGAACUACUGGCCAUUGAUAGCUGCUGGGAGGGGAAGAGUGUGCUUUCUUUAGGAGUGAUUCCAUGGCCGG
Molecule: long non-coding RNA, 717 nt
Organism: Alexandromys fortis (reed vole)
Lineage: Eukaryota; Metazoa; Chordata; Mammalia; Rodentia; Cricetidae
Exons: 3
Source: RefSeq, a predicted model, not a curated record